GCCUGCGGAGCGGAGGAAGACAAACAUAAAGAUGAAGUGCUUAAUUCAAGGUCACACAAUGUCGGGGAUGGACCUCCAGAUUUCCUUACUGACCUGCAUUAUCUUGUGGAUACCUGAGUGAAUUCCACACCACCCAUUUUAUAGAUGAAACCACUGAGACAUGGAGCAAUUGACUGAGUAGUCACUGCCCCACCCCUGCCUGGAGCCUCACACAUGACUCGCCUCCUCUCAGUGACCACAGGUUGGUUGAGGGGUUUAACAAGGCUAAGAAGGUGAGACGUGGUCUUGUAACACAGUGGUUAAGAAUGUGACUUUGGAGCCAGCCUGCUAGGGGCUGAAUUCUGACUCAGCCAUUUACUAACUGUGUGACCUUAGGUGGGUUCCCAAGCCUGUAAAAUGUAAGCCUUAUGCUGCUGAGGGCCAUCUUGCCACCCUGAGGGAAACGCUGCCUGAGAAUGAAACAAGCAUAAGUAAAAGCUGAGCUGUGAGAUGGAGCAAGAUGAAGGCCACAUGACAUCUUUGGAGCACCUGGAUCUAACUGUGCCUUAAGCUAGUCUAACCCUGAACAUUUCAUCAUUUCAUUGACAUGAGCCCAGGUUUUCUUUUUUUUUGGAUGGAGUCUUGCUCUGUCGCCCAGGCUGGAGUGCAGUAGCUCAAUCUCGGCUCACUGCAAGCUCCACCUCCCGGGUUCACGCCAUUCUCCUGCCUUAGCCUCCCAAGUAGCUGGGACAACAGGCGCCCACCACCACUCCCAGCUAAUUUUUUGUAUUUUUAGUAGAGACGGGGUUUUACCAUGUUAGCCGGGAUGGUCUUGAUCUCCUGACCUCAUGAUCCGCCCGCCUCGGCCUCCCAAAGUGCUGGGAUUACAGGUGUG
This 874-nucleotide long non-coding RNA is filed under the name Homo sapiens (human). Its description in RNAcentral is "non-protein coding PCBP1-AS1:245". The record is from RNAcentral. Lineage: Eukaryota; Metazoa; Chordata; Mammalia; Primates; Hominidae.